This 252-nucleotide ribosomal RNA is filed under the name uncultured bacterium. Its description in RNAcentral is "partial 16S ribosomal RNA". It matches the Rfam family "Bacterial small subunit ribosomal RNA", at positions 524 to 775 of the family's 1533-position model. The record is from RNAcentral.
UACGUAGGCAGCGAGCGUUGUUCGGAAUUACUGGGCGUAAAGAGUGUGUAGGCGGUGUUCUAAGUCUGUCGUGAAAUCUCCGGGCUUAACUGGGAGGGUGCGGCGGAAACUGGAAUGCUAGAGGGUGGGAGAGGAAAGCGGAAUUCCUGGUGUAGCGGUGAAAUGCGUAGAUAUCAGGAGGAACACCUGCGGUGUAGACAGCUUUCUGGACCACUUCUGACGCUGAGACACGAAGGCGUGGGUAGCAAACAG